This 1022-nucleotide long non-coding RNA is filed under the name Homo sapiens (human). RNAcentral describes it as "HSALNT0292081". Lineage: Eukaryota; Metazoa; Chordata; Mammalia; Primates; Hominidae. The record is from RNAcentral.
GCCAGUCUUCCCAAGGUGAAAUCCUAACUUUGCCACUUACUAGCCAUGUGAACUUGGGCAAGUGACCUAAUCCUCUGCAUUUCAUCUCUAAAUUGGGGAGAAUAGAAGCAUCUACUUCAUGUAGUAGCCAGGAUUAGAAGAGGGAGGAAUAACUGGGCCCUGGAUAGAAUGUGAUGAAUGUAUAUUCUUAAUGAGAAGUGGAAAUAAUUUGUGGUUGAGAGCUGUGCCUCAGAUCAGAGUGACAGGAUACAUGGCUAGGCUAUAUUUUCCAGCAGAUUAAGAGCUGCGGCCCAAGACUCUGAAAUAUGAAGAAAAAAGGAGAAGAUGACAGCAUAUCUUUUUAAAGAAAUAUUUUCCAGCCAAAUGGUGUAGCAGAGGACUUCCAGGAAUUUGUUCUUGUUCUGUAUCAAAGGUGAAGAGUUCGUAGCCUUCAAGGAAACAAGAAACCAUGGGAUGGAGUGAAGGAAGGUGGCCUGGAACCAGCUGCUGAGCCUCUCUGAGCCCCAGUUUCCUCGUCUCUAAAAUGGGGCUGAUCUCCUCUCCCUCAGACUGUUGUUGCAGGAAUUAAAACAGGUGUUGAGUGGGAAAGCAUCAGUCCCAUAGCAAAUGGCCCCUGAGUAGUAGGAUCUGAGUUCUGGUUCUGGUCCUGCUGGGGUAUGGCUGGUUGAGAGGUCAAAGAGGUCUGGCUAAAUGCAUGAGGAUUAAAUUCCUUAUCUAUCAGGAUCCCAUUGGCUCUCGGAUGCUUUGUGGUUCCCUCCAUCCAGAAGAUUAACUACUCCUUUUGACCAAGACUGGCCUAAUGUGGCUGAUUUUUUUUUCUGAGAAGAUGCUGCUCACUUAUGCCCCCCAUCUUUCAACUGUCUCACUGGCCACUCCACAUUCUCCCUAAUGGGGGCCCUGCAGCAGCCUCUGCUUGGCCCCCCUGCCUCCCAUCUGGCCCCCUCCAACCCACUCUCCACAUUGAAGCCAGAUUUAGUUUUUUUGCCAAAUCCAGCCAUGUCACUCGCCUAUCUAAAAUACAC